Molecule: unclassified non-coding RNA, 148 nt
Organism: Macaca mulatta (Rhesus monkey)
Lineage: Eukaryota; Metazoa; Chordata; Mammalia; Primates; Cercopithecidae
Rfam family: Metazoan signal recognition particle RNA
About the family: The signal recognition particle (SRP) is a universally conserved ribonucleoprotein. It is involved in the co-translational targeting of proteins to membranes.
Source: Ensembl
GCUGGGCGUGGUGGCUCACACCUGUAGUCCUAGCUACUCAGGAGGCUGAGGCAGGAGGAUCACUUGAGUGCAGGAAUUGGAGGCUGCAGUGAACUGUAAUCACAUCACUGUGCCCCAGCCUGGGCAACAGAGUGAGACCCUGUCUUUC